GAGGUUGGAGCUCAGUGGUAGAGCGCUUGUGCAGCAUGUGUGAGGCACUGGGUUCGAUUCUCAGAACCACA
RNAcentral lists this transfer RNA (71 nucleotides) under Marmota monax (woodchuck). Its description in RNAcentral is "tRNA.Ala". Lineage: Eukaryota; Metazoa; Chordata; Mammalia; Rodentia; Sciuridae. The record is from RNAcentral.